GAUGUAGGACAGACAAUCGCGGGACAGGAGAAAUCCUGUAAUGAGGAAAGUCCGGGCUCCGGGGCAAAGGAUGCCGGGUAACUCCCGGUGAAGGUAACUUUAAGGAAAGUGCAACAGAAACAUACCGCCCGUCGGAAAAUAAAUAUUGUCCUAUGGGUAAGGGCGAAAUGGUGAGGUAAGAGCUCACCGGCUUCGGGGUAAUCCGAAGGCCGUGUAAACCCCAUCCGGAGCAACGUCUGUAAUGGCAGAGAGGAUUAAAGAUGGCCCGUCUCCUUUCUGGCAGGCGGCUUUAGCCAUAUAGAGAUAUAUGGCAUAGAUAGAUGAUUGUCUGAUACAGAACCCGGCUUACAGUCCUGCUUCAAAA
Molecule: RNase P RNA, 364 nt
Filed under: Clostridia bacterium
Lineage: Bacteria; Bacillati; Bacillota; Clostridia
Description: RNase P RNA component class A
Rfam family: Bacterial RNase P class A
About the family: Ribonuclease P (RNase P) is a ubiquitous endoribonuclease, found in archaea, bacteria and eukarya as well as chloroplasts and mitochondria. Its best characterised activity is the generation of mature 5'-ends of tRNAs by cleaving the 5'-leader elements of precursor-tRNAs. Cellular RNase Ps are ribonucleoproteins.
Source: RNAcentral